Molecule: long non-coding RNA, 2602 nt
Filed under: Bos grunniens (domestic yak)
Lineage: Eukaryota; Metazoa; Chordata; Mammalia; Artiodactyla; Bovidae
Description: lncRNA (ENSBGRG00000002995.1)
Source: RNAcentral
GGACCCCUAGACAUCUCCCUCGGGUCCGCGCCCUGCUUCUCAACUCUUAACUCAGGGCCCAAAUUUGGAGUGAGGGAACCCCCUUCACCCCCUACCCGGGCUCUUAAGUGCACAGACUUCAGAACUGCACCCAGCGUCUGUGGGGGGGGGUCCCCAGCUUUCACUGCGCACUCGCCCCGCCCCCGCCCGCGGGCCCGCCCCGCCCCCUCCCACGCACGUCACGUCCGGCCCGGCCCCAGCCCGCCCUGCGCCCUGCGCCCUCCGGCCUCCGCUCUCCUCCGCUUGCUGUUAGGGAGGCUCUGCGCCUCAGUCGCUGCCUCCGUGGCCGCUCCCGCCCCGUCUUCCGCGUCUCCGCCGCCGCCACGGCCGGGGGCAUCCGGGGGUCGCCUACCGGGCUGGCCCCGAGCCACAGUCGUCGCCUCAGCCUCCCGCCAGUGGCCGCCACAGGAAGAGGCUCGCCGGUCGCGGAGUCACUUGGGGCCUCAGUUCUCGCCCUCUUGCAGUCGCCGCAGGUCCUGGAGAAGCGGCCGCGGCCGGGGAACGGGGCGUCGCGGUUCCAAGGAUUAACUGCUGAAGUACUGAUCGAGUUCUGCGUUUCUUCAAUGAGGAACUAUAGGCUGAUCUUCUGCCAUAAUCUCAAACAGCCAUAAAUGACAAAAGAAUGCUUGCUCAGUGAGGGUAGCUGGUGCAGAAACCAUUUUUUAAACUUAGGUGUUUAAGUACUCAAAGGUAAGUUUUCACAAUAGUAAUUAUCCCAUGCUUAUAUAUCCACAGAGAUUUUAGAAUUAAUUUCCUAUUGCUGCUAUUGACUAGUUAACAGGUUUUGUAGUUAUUAGCUGACAUCAGAUGUGUUAAAGAAUGGAUUUUGCUUGUCUGAAACUGUUUACAUUUAUGGCAUUUUGCUGUCCCUAAGUUAAUUUUUACUAUUUAUAUAAGUUUCAUUUGUUCUCCAGUGGGUUUACCUUUUGUACAUAUGGACAUAUACAUAUACAUUUAUUUGUGUAAACUUUUAGAAUAUUGAGCUUUUUUUUCUUUUGCUCUUAUCUUUCUCUUGUAGUGUGAAAGGAAUUGUGUCUCUGGGGUGAUGAAAAAAGCUCAGUUGGUGUCUUUUUGUUCAUUAUCAAUUUUUGAAAAAGGUUUUUCUUUCCUUUAUCCAUAUAAAUUAAUAAAUUUUUAUUUCAUUUUUAUUUUUUAUUCCUUUGGCCAUGCUACAUGGGUUGUGGGAUCUUAGUUUCCGGACCAAGGAUUGAAACCACGCCCUCAGCAAUGAAAGCACAGAGUAGUAACCACUGGACCACCAGGGAAUUCCCAUAAAUGAUUAUUUUAGAAAAUGAAUAUUUAUUGAGAUUAUUUGUUCUUUGAUGAUUCAGAAAUUGGAAACAUUGUUUUUGCCCACUGAUUCUUUAUUGAUCACAAGUCCUACAGAGUUAAGAUGAAUAAUUUAUUUCUUCUGGACUAGACAGACUGUGGAAGUUUUUCUUUUGAAUAAUUAUGAAGCAGCAGGAUUGAUAAAAGAACAUUCUCAUUAAAGGUAGAUGCCUAGAAGAAGAAGUGAAGUCACUCAGUCGUGUCUCACUCUUUGCGAACCCAUGGACUGUAGCCUAUCAGGCUCUUCCGUCCAUGGGAUUUUCCAGGCAAGAGUGCUGGAGUGGAUUGAUAUUUCCUUCUCCAGGGGACCUUCCCAACCCAGGAAUCGAACCCAGGUCUCCCGCAUUGCAGGCAGACGCUUUACUGUCUGAGCCACCAGGAUGCCUAGAGCUGAAGAAUUUCCUUUGUUUAUAAAAACAUGGCUGCUCUGUCAUGUAGAAAUAAGAACUAGUUAAUCUUGUUCUUAUUAGCCUAUCAUUUUAAAAAAAGAUUCUCUCCUGUUAGGUUGCUUAUGAAUUGAGUGGUUAGAUGAGCUUCAUAUACCAGAGUCCAGAAAUGAUUAGGUUUGACCUUUUACUUGUGUCAUUAUUAAGCUUGGUCAGUAAGGUCUUAUUGGUGCAAAAUUUGCCCCUUAAUUUGUCAUUGAGACAUUAAUAUCCGUUGCGAAGUUCAGUGAUCAGUUUUGCCAUUGUUUGAUAAAUAGGCAGUCAUGGCAUGGCAUUAGUAUUGGCUUCCCUGAUGGCUCGGCUGGUAAAGAAUCUACCUGCAGUGCAUAAGAUCCCAGUUUGAUUUCUAGAUUGGAAAGAUCUGCUGGAGAAGGGGUAGGCUACCCUCGCCAGUAUUCUUGGGCUACCCUGGUGACUCACCUGGUAAAGAAGUCUGCCUGCAAUGUGAGAGACCUGGGUUCAUUCCCUAGGUUGGGAGGAUCGCCUGGAGAAGGGAAAGGCUACCCACCCCAGUAUUCUGGCCUGGAGAAUUCCAUGGACUGUAUAGUCCAUGGAAUCGCAACGAGUCAGACACGAGUGAGCAAUGUUCACUAAAGGGAGCAUUCAGAACUGACUUCACAUAGUAGAGAAAAUGUUUAGAUGAUUGUAUUGAGCUUUAAUUGUAGAACACACUUUGGGCCUGGUAACUGGAACAUAUUUAAUAGAUAAGAACACAUUCACGUGUAAAGCCUUCUUCUUUAAUGUAUGUAGUCAUAUUGCCACCAGUUAAUCAUUAUAGUCUUUUUUUU